GAGCUUACUAUAGCAGCACAUAUGCUAAAACAGGAAUAAUAUGGAAAAGAUUGGCAUGAUCCCUGAAUAAAGAUGAUACACAAUUUAUGAAGUGUUCCAUGUUUUU
RNAcentral lists this small nuclear RNA (106 nucleotides) under Notamacropus eugenii (tammar wallaby). The record is from RNAcentral. Lineage: Eukaryota; Metazoa; Chordata; Mammalia; Diprotodontia; Macropodidae.